AACGAACGCUGGCGGCGUGGAUAAGACAUGCAAGUCGAACGGGAUAACAUCUGUAGCAAUACAGGUGUUAUUUAGUGGCGAACGGGUGCGUAACACGUGGGCAAUCUGCCGAGAAGUGGGGGGAUAGCUCGCCGAAAGGCGAAUUAAUACCGCAUAUGAUCAGGGAAGACAUCUUUCCGACAUCAAAGCCGGGGCAACCUGGCGCUUCUUGAGGAGCCCGCGGCCUAUCAGCUAGUUGGUGAGGUAACGGCUCACCAAGGCUAUGACGGGUAGCUGGUCUGAGAGGACGACCAGUCACACUGGAACUGAGACACGGUCCAGACACCUACGGGUGGCAGCAGUCGAGAAUUUUUCNCAAUGGGGCAACCCUGAAGGAGCGACGCCGCGUGGAGGAUGAAGG
Molecule: ribosomal RNA, 400 nt
Filed under: uncultured bacterium
Lineage: Bacteria
Description: bacterial SSU rRNA
Rfam family: Bacterial small subunit ribosomal RNA
Source: RNAcentral